GUGGCAGCAUUAGAUUCCAAUAGGAGUGUGAACCCUAUUGUGAGCUGCGCGUGCGAGGGGUCUAGGCUGCGCGCUCCUUGUGAGACGCACUCCUUAUAAGAAUCUAACGCCUGAUGAUCUGUCAUUGUUUCCCAUCACCUCCAGAUGGAACCGUCUAGUUGCAGGAAAGCAAGAUGUCAGGGCUCCCACUGAUUCUACAUUAUGGGUGUGAAAGAAGAGUCAUCAUUCCUUCAAUCUAAAAGGAUUACAUCAAUUCAGUUCCAGAAAAUGGAGUGACUGCCAAUUAAAAAUGUGGGAAGAGAAAGUCUCCAUCUCCCUGAAGGAACAUACAGAGUCCUUUUAAGAUAAGUACAUUUAAAGAAAAUCGUUAUGCACAACACUAACUUCAUUGUAGGUUUUUGGCUCUCUUUCAUAUGACUAUGUCUUUGCAGAUGCCUUUAGUACCAGUGGGGAGUCUAUACUGGAAAUGCAUUCUUCGCCACUUGGCAGAGUAUUCACAGUAAAUGAAUAUCAGAGCUAGGAUUUUGUUGUUAGUUUUUUAUCUGUGGCUGGCUAAAAAGACAGACUUUUACCUACAGGUUGGAUUAUACUAAACAAAAAGAAGGAUAAGCAGAUUUUCUUUUAAGGCAAGACCAAAGGAAGGAAGGAAGACCAAAUCAAAUUUUCAUUUUGAAACAAUGAACAAUAGCAGACAAGUUGGUUAGCAGGGACACUACGUUUAAAUAUUUGUGUGUGUUUGCAUGUGGGGGGGUCUGUGUGUCUCAAAAUAGGAGCAGAAGGGCAGACUGAACACGUGUUCUUUCCCACCCCAAUUACUCUGAUAUGAUCAAAUAAAUAAAUACAUUCGUAACGCACUAGAAAACAAGAAAGGGUGGUGUCAACAUCAAAGAUGUUGAGAUAUUUAUAAAAGAUAUAGAGCAGAUAGGAUUGAAUUCUUCAUAAAAAAAAAGACCAGAAAAAAACACAUAGGAGAGAGAGAGUGCAGAGAUGAGAGUGCUUAUGGGAACUUCAGGCAGCCUUAGGAGGUCAAGGAGCAAUUGUCACAGUGAUUAACUGGGGCAGUGCAUUUAGAGGGACUAGGCUGAUCAGCCAGCCCCCCUACCUCCUGACUAAGCUGAGCAAAAGAGAGCAGGAAUUGCCCUCAGGCUAAACAGAUGAGCAUGGGCUCUGAGACCAAAGAGAUGGGACAAUUCAUUGUCACAAGUAGCUAGUGAUACCCUUGAGACCAGCUGAAACCUCCUCCUAGCAGAAUGCCCUGUCCUGUCCCCACGAUCACUGCAGAUAAACUCCUGUAAUCCGAAUCAAUUUCUACUAAAAUGUGAACAAGUUAUUCAAAUAUGUAUGCCAACAAAACUAAGAUUCCAAGAUAAAGAAAAAUGUGGGAUAUAAGAAAGCAUGAUAAGAAAAAAAUAUAUAUAUAGUUAAGUUUAAAUCUUUUUUCUUUAAUUUCAGCUUUUAUUUUAGAUAUGAGGACGGGAGCUACAUGUGUAAGAUGUGUACACAUAAAUGUGUACAUUAUAUGUGUACACAUAAAUGUGUACAUUAUAUGUGUACACAUAAAUGUGUACAUUAUAUGUGUACACAUAAAUGCUGAUGAACUCUAUAGUCAAAAACUAAUUAUAGUUGGAGGCAUAUUUUAAGAAUUUAAAAGUAAAACUUCUGGUUAAACUUAAUGGAUUAAGUCUACAUAUUUACUUUAUUUUAUUUUAGAGUGCUACUAAAAACUUAAAAGUAAAUUAAACAGGCCAGGCGUGGUGGCUCAUGCCUGUAAUCCCAGCACUUUAGGAGGCCAAGUCGGGCGGAUCAGGAGGUCAGGAGAUCAAGACCAUCCUGGCUAACACGGUGAA
Molecule: long non-coding RNA, 1847 nt
Organism: Homo sapiens (human)
Lineage: Eukaryota; Metazoa; Chordata; Mammalia; Primates; Hominidae
Source: Ensembl